UUUGUUUUGGUUUCAGCUCUUUUCCUGGACCUGUUUGGGAGGCGGCCCCUCUUGUUGUUGGGCUCAACAGGGAUGGCUGUUUCAUUGGCUGCCCUGGGGAUGGGCUCAAAGUAUCUAGAGCAGUCAGAUAGCAAGCCUGUGUGGGCCAUUGCGUUGUGUAUAGUGGCCGUAUGCGCUGAUGUAUCCUUUUUUUCAAUUGGGCUUGGGCCAGUCACAUGGGUGUAUUCUUCAGAGAUAUUUCCAAUGAGGUUAAGGGCCCAAGGUUCAAGCUUG
Molecule: unclassified non-coding RNA, 273 nt
Filed under: Hevea brasiliensis (rubber tree)
Lineage: Eukaryota; Viridiplantae; Streptophyta; Magnoliopsida; Malpighiales; Euphorbiaceae
Source: RNAcentral